RNAcentral lists this ribosomal RNA (253 nucleotides) under uncultured bacterium. RNAcentral's name for it is "partial 16S ribosomal RNA". It matches the Rfam family "Bacterial small subunit ribosomal RNA", at positions 524 to 776 of the family's 1533-position model. The record is from RNAcentral.
UACGUAGGGUGCGAGCGUUAAUCGGAAUUACUGGGCGUAAAGCGUGCGCAGGCGGCUUUGCAAGACAGAUGUGAAAUCCCCGGGCUCAACCUGGGAACUGCAUUUGUGACUGCAAGGCUAGAGUAGGGCAGAGGGGGAUGGAAUUCCGCGUGUAGCAGUGAAAUGCGUAGAUAUGCGGAGGAACACCAAUGGCGAAGGCAAUCCCCUGGGCCUGUACUGACGCUCAUGCACGAAAGCGUGGGGAGCAAACAGG